CAGAUACCGUCGUAGUCUUAACCAUAAACUAUGCCGACUAGGGAUCGG
RNAcentral lists this ribosomal RNA (48 nucleotides) under Myriosclerotinia scirpicola. RNAcentral's name for it is "partial 18S ribosomal RNA". Lineage: Eukaryota; Fungi; Ascomycota; Leotiomycetes; Helotiales; Sclerotiniaceae. RNAcentral also lists the same sequence under 3 other names. The record is from RNAcentral.